GUCUCACUAGAAUUAAUUAGAAGUAUAUUUUGGUGCUAGAGAAUUGUAAGAAUUUCUGAUUUUGGUGGCUCCCAUGGAGGAGCGAGCUUCAUUCAUCUAUAUAUGUUUACUGUCCAGUAGCCAUGACAACCGCCGGGGGAGGCAUGGCAUGACCUGCAAAUUUAUUCCGUUAUGGCAAGGUGGAGCGCCCUUUUCCGGGAUACAGCUGCAUGAACUGCUUCCAGAAGGAGGCACAGUACCUGAAUUCAGAGACUGUAAAGGGACAAGUCCUAUCUUGAUCCACUCUUCUUUCUCCCCAUCAAGAACCCUACCAGCACUGUGUGGCUGGACGCUCAGAACAAGAACGAAGUGCCGUGACAGCUAAAACAAUGUCCAGAAACCUCAUGAUCUUGGCGGGUUAAGCAAAGAGGAGAUGAUCAAAGAAAUAUUUUUAGCUGGACAAAUUAAUAUGCAUAUAUGAUAAAUGAAAAAGAAUCACUAUCUCGGUUAUUCGAUUAAAAGGGUUUUUGACAAAAAUACUCUUAUUAUUUUCUUGUAAAAAUAACUUUCUUUUAAAACAGGUUACUUUAAAUACUUGAAAUGGUAGAAGGCAUUAAUGUAAAAUAAUAAUAAUAAUAAUAAUAACAGGUUACUUUUUUUAAAAAAAAAACAACAUGGGAAUGGUUAAAUUCACGAUUUAAAAAUUAAUUCAAUGCUUAACUAAACAAGUGGCUCUAAAUGCCUAAGUGAAAAAGUGGCUCUAAACGCAUAAUUGAGAAUGUGCCUCUAAACACCUAAUUGAGAAAGUGGCUUUGAACACCUAAUUAAGAAAGUUACUCUAAAAGCUUAACUGAGAAAGUGGCUAUGAACACCUCAGUGAAAAAGUGACCUUGAAUGCCUAAUUGAGAAAGUCGCUUUGAAGGCCUAACUGAGAAAGCGACUCUAAACGCCUAAGUGAGAAAGUGGUGUUGAAGGCCAAAGUGAGACGGUUGCUUUGAACACCUAACUCAACAAGUGGAUCUAAACACCUAAGCGAGAAAGUGGCUAUGAACGCCUAAUUGAGAAUGUGCCUAUGAAUGCCUAACUGAGAAUAUGCCUCUAAACUCCUAACUGAGAAAGUUGUACUAAACGCCUAAUAGAGAAAGUGGGUGAGAACGACAAAGUGAGAAUGUUGUUCUAAACUUCUAAUUGAGAAAGUGGCUCAGAACACUUAACUAAGAAAGUCACUCUGAACGCCUAAGUGAGAAAGUGGUUGUGAAUGCCAAAGUGAGAAAAUGACUCUGAACACCUAACUGAGCAAGUGACCCUUAACUCCUAAGUGAGAAAGUGACUCUGAAUGCCUAGUUGAGAAAGUGGCCUUGAAUGCGUAAUUGAGAAAGUCACUCUAAACAUCUAACUAAGAAAGUCACUAUAAAGGCCUAAGUGAGAAAAUGGCUCUCAACGCCUAACUGAGAAAGUGGCUCUCAACGCCUAAGUGAGAAAGUGUCUUUGAUCACUAAGGUGAGAAAGUGGCUCUAAACGCCUAAGUGAGAAAGUGGCCUCGAACACCUAAGUUAGAAGGUGACUCUAAAUGCCUAAGUGUGCAAGUGGCCCUGAACACUUAACUGAGACAAUGGCUUUGAACGCCUAACUAAGAAAGUGGUGAUGAAUUCCUAAAUGAGAAAGUAGUUCUUAAGGCCAAAAUAAGUCACUGGCUUUGAACGCCUAAUUGAGCAAGUGGCUAUGAACGACUAAAUGAGAUAGUGGUUGUGAGCGCCUAAGUGAGAAAGUGUCUGAAUGCCUAAUUGAGAAAGUGGCUCUAAAUGCCUAUGUAAGAAAGUGGUUGUGAAGGCCAAAGUGGGAAAAUGGCUUUGAACGCCUAACUAGACUAGUGGCUUUGAACGCCUAAUUGAGCCAGUGGCUCUAAACAUCUAAGUGAGAAAAUGGGUAUAAAUGCCUAAGUGAGAAAGUGCCUCUGAACACCUAACCAAUAAUGUGCAUUUGAAUGCCUAAUUGAGAAAGUGACUUUAAACACCUAAUCGAGAAAGUGGUUCUGACCGCCUAACUGAGAAAGUCGCUCUAGACGCCUAACUAAGAAAGGGGUUGUGAACGCCUAAGUGAGAAAGUGGCUUUGAAGGCCUAACUAUGCAAGUGGCUUUGAAUGCCUAAGUGCGUGAGAAAGUGGCUCUAAAUGGCUAAGUGAGAAAGUGGCUCUAAACACUUAAUUGAGAAUGUGCCUCUAAACGCCUUACUAAGAAUGUGCCUUUGAACGCCUAACUGAGAAUGUGCCUCCAAAUGCCUAAAUGAGCAAGUGGCUCUGAAUGCCUAAGUGAGAAAGUGGCUCUAAAUGCCUAAAUGAGAAAGUGGCUCUAAAUGCCUAAAUGAGAAAGUGGCUCAGGAUGCCUAAUUGAGAAUGUGCUUCUAAACGCCUAAUUGAGAAAGUCGCUAUGAACUUCUAAGUAAGAAGUGGCUGUGAAGCCAAAGUGAGAAUAUGGCUCUAAAUGCCUCAUUGAGAAAGGGGCUCAGAACACCUAAUAGCGUUUUUUUUAUAAAUUAAUGGCAAAGUGAGAAGGGUUUCUUUGACUGUUGACGACUUACUAAUAGUGUUUUGCUUUGGGAGAUUGAAAAUUACUUCCUUUGUGGAUUACUUUUUAACAUGUACAUACAAAUGCCAAAGUGCAUUUGAAUAUAUUUAUAAAAAGGGUCUUAAAGAAGAAACUACGUCUGAAAUUACUAGAUUACUGUACACAUGGACAUGCAUCUUAUGACCUUUUUGAACAUAAAAAAUUAUAUAUAUAUAUAUAUAUAUAUAUAUAUAUAUAUAGAUAUAUAUUUAUUUAUGUGUGUUUCAGCAAGCUGGCUAAACCUAUUAGGAGUCACUCAUUGGUCGGCAUGUUUAAUUUUCUCCCUAUUGAAUUAGGUGCGCAUACUAGUUGGUAUAAGUCAUUUAAUAAAAAAAAUUAAGAAAUAUUUACAAACUAGGUUAGCAUUAAAUAUGAGUACACUGUCUGAUCUAGGCAUUUUGGAGAUUCUUUCUUAUAACUUGAACUUCCUUAAGGGGGCAUUAGUUUUGAAAAAUCAAUGAAGUUAUGGAUGAAGUGUUAAACACAAGCUCAAGGCUAUAUUUGAAGGAAAAUAUGAUGGGAAGAAAAAAGAAAUGAUAGAAAUAAAAUAAAUAAAUAAAUGAAGGAAAAUAAAAAAUAAAUUUAAAAUUUAUAAAUUAUUAUUAUACAUGCAUUAUUUAAAAUUUAUUUUACUUAUUUUAAUAUUAAAUAAUUUUAAAAUAUAUAAAUUUCUAACCAAUUUUAAUUACAGUUGGUUCUCUUUCAUAUUUUUCAUAUGGAAAAACCAAACAUGAUAAAAUUAUUUUCCUAAUCAUUUUCUUUCUUUCCUUGAUACUUAGACAAUUUUGAAUUUCUCAAAAUUCUAAGAUUUUUUUUGAAAGAUAUUAGACUCCUAAAUGCUUUUAAAAGAAUAUAUUCUUUAAAGAAUUAACCAUCUAAAAGUCUAUCUAUCCUUUGGACCAUAAUAUCCUAGUACAAAAAUUUCAAACAAAUUGAUUGAAAAUAGAGAUUAGCUUAGGUAUUUUUGAACCACAUGUGUUUCUUAAAGUUUUUUUAUGUCUUGGCUAGAUCUUGACCCCUUGUUAAUUUUACAUGUUAGUACACUGAAAAUAGAACCAAAUAGUAAAUUUCCACUUGAUUUUGAAUCUGUUUGCAUUAGGAAAGAAUUUGGUGAUAACACUCACCAUACUGCAACAACCUCAAGUCACAACAACUUACCUGCAAUAGAAAAAAUGGCUACACCAGAAGAAUCUUCAAG
This 3780-nucleotide long non-coding RNA is filed under the name Vitis vinifera (wine grape). Its description in RNAcentral is "long non-coding RNA (VVIN_LNC004967)". Lineage: Eukaryota; Viridiplantae; Streptophyta; Magnoliopsida; Vitales; Vitaceae. The record is from RNAcentral.